CUGACAGGGGGAGACACCUCCUGCUGUGAAACACUCCUUUAUCACCACGCCAAGCUGGGCAUCAGGGACGAGAACGGCUGGGACGAGACACAUCAGGCCUGUCAGAAUGGAAACUCGCAGCAUCUGGAGCAUCUCCUCUUCUAUGGUGCGGACUCUUCCUCCCAGAAUGCCUCUGGAAACACUGCCUUGCACAUCUGUGCUUUAUACAACAAGGAAAGCUGUGCACGAAUUCUCCUCUACAGGGGCGCAAACAAAGACACAAAGAACAACAGUGG
This is a non-coding RNA of Labrus bergylta (ballan wrasse), 275 nucleotides long. The record is from RefSeq and is a predicted model, not a curated record. NCBI's taxonomy places the organism in Eukaryota, Metazoa, Chordata, Actinopteri, Labriformes, Labridae.